Oryctolagus cuniculus (rabbit) is the source of this 617-nucleotide non-coding RNA. Lineage: Eukaryota; Metazoa; Chordata; Mammalia; Lagomorpha; Leporidae. The record is from RefSeq and is a predicted model, not a curated record.
AUGUUGACUGAAAGUGUAAUGUUACAGGUAAUGAUAGCAUUUGAAGACCUGGCUGUGUACUUUAUGUGGGAGGAAUGGCAGAAAAUGAACAAUGCUCAGAAAACCCUGUGAUGCUGGAGACCUACAGCAAGCUCUUCUCCUUGGGGCACUGCACUACCAAACCUGACUUGAUCUUCAAGUUGGAGCGAGGAGCAGAGCCAUGGAUGGUGGAAGAAUGCCUGAAUCAGAGCCUUUCAGAGAUCACUCUACAGCCUGUGUGCAUAGCAGCCUGAAAUGCCAAACCUGAACCCAGUCUCUGAAAGCUGACCCUCUACAAACCAACUUCAGCACCUUUCCCUGAACAAGCCAUUCAUAGAAAGAUCCUCUUCAGAUCAGCUACAGCUUAAAUGGAAGGGACCUUACCAGGUGCUACUGAACAUGACUACCUCAGUAAAAUUAGGAUUAAACGUCUACCUCUCAAGUCAUCACAGGUGUACUCAAAAGACAUGCCUGAUUAUUCCUGUAAGCCAGAGAUCUUAAGCAAAAAGAAAAGUAAAUCCUUUGCUUUCCUCACAUCAAGAGUGCUGCGCCUGAAGGCAGGCAUGGUGUACCUGCCUCUUCUGAUUCUGUUAUUAACA